UCGAACUAAAUCUAAUUCAAUUAGACUCAUUCCAAAGCUCUUUACUCAAUCAAAUUGAGUCAAUUAGUAAUCUAAUUACUAAUUAAUUCUUCAUAAAUGAUAGAGUCUCAGUCUCAGUGAUACUCUUCCAUAAAGCCCUACUCCAAGUAGGAUUCUUCACCAGAGUCACAAUCUAAUUGGACUCUUCAGCCAUCAUAUCUGAUCAAAUCUUCUAAUGUGUGUGAUCCUAUAGGUUUGAACCUAAGCUAGUAGCAUAGGAAUAACUUUCUAUACCAAUCGAUGUAACCAUCUAGCAAUGAUGACUCGACGAUCGGAUGGGUCGAAGUGUUGCAAAGCAAUUUUCUAGAACCUACUGGCAUAUGAUUAUCGUAUAAUUCAUCCCUUUGACCCAAAUGCUUAAGCUAACUUAGGGUUUAACUGUCAACUCUAAUUAAGUCAAUCAUAUUGUAUUUCAAUCUUUCAAAUUCAUCUCAUGGAUUAUCCUGACCAAGGUUUUGCUAAAUUAAAAUACACUGAUGCAUAUCUCCUACCAAUCUAGAGGGGUCAAUUCCAUCUUGACUCACACACCGACUUGAUAAGUACUUGACUGCAUCUAGUAUUCUUUCGUCACUAAGUUAGAAACUCAGAUAGUUCGAUACUAAAGUAUAGUGAGUUGCUUAUAAGUCACCGUGGUGGUC
This 677-nucleotide long non-coding RNA is filed under the name Elaeis guineensis (African oil palm). Its description in RNAcentral is "long non-coding RNA (EGUI_LNC078567)". Lineage: Eukaryota; Viridiplantae; Streptophyta; Magnoliopsida; Arecales; Arecaceae. The record is from RNAcentral.